GAAGACUAAGAAUUUUAAUGAAAGCUGCUAACUUCUCAUUAUAGCGGUUUAACUCCGUUAAGCCUUCU
Molecule: transfer RNA, 68 nt
Filed under: Allopsontus sp. 2 JZ-2014
Lineage: Eukaryota; Metazoa; Arthropoda; Insecta; Archaeognatha; Machilidae
Description: tRNA-Ser
Source: RNAcentral